Molecule: ribosomal RNA, 271 nt
Filed under: uncultured bacterium
Lineage: Bacteria
Description: partial 16S ribosomal RNA
Rfam family: Bacterial small subunit ribosomal RNA
Source: RNAcentral
UACGUAGGGGGCUAGCGUUGUCCGGAUUUAUUGGGCGUAAAGCGCGUGUAGGCGGCCAGGUAAGUCCGCUGUGAAAACUCGAGGCUCAACCUCGAGCUGUCGGUGGAAACUAUCUGGCUAGAGUCCGGAAGAGGAGAGUGGAAUUCCCGGUGUAGCGGUGAAAUGCGCAGAUAUCGGGAAGAACACCCGUGGCGAAGGCGGCUCUCUGGGACGGUACUGACGCUGAGACGCGAAAGCGUGGGGAGCGAACAGGAUUAGAAACCCUAGUAGU